UACUACCCUCACCACUUCUCAGUCCAGUCGCCCGACCCUCCCCAUAAAUCAACCCUCCCCUUACCUCAGCAACUCACCCUCUUAAUCUGAGAACCAGAGCCGGCCCUUGGGGAGGGCAACUGGGGCCUGGGCCCGGGGCCCAUAAUUGAAAGGGGCACCAAAAAAAUAAAGUUAAGCCAUAUAUUAUAUACGUAUAGAACAAAACAAAUAAAAUAAAUAAAUUAAAAACCAAGCGUGCAUUUUUGUUUAAUCCUCCCUUCCCAAAAGCGCGUGCUCACCCAUAUAUGCUAGCAAAUAUAUUGUUUUUAAAUCCUUUUCCAAAAAAAAAAACAAAACAAAACAAAACAAAACAAAACCAGACCACACUAGGGUUUAGAUUCUUGUUGUCUCAAUUUUCUUAUAUAUGUACCUAUCAUCCCUCACUCACAGUCACACCGCGGCCUCUCUCCUCUCCAUUGCCUCUCUCUUUCGUCUUUCCUAUCAUUUCCCCUCCAUGACAGAAGAGACGAAGCCAACAGAGCUAUUCAAGAUCGCCAAUUGAGAACUUAUUCAUUGAGAAUUGAGAUGGGUUUCAGGUGCAGACCCAGAUAAACAACAAAGAUGAUUUUUCUUGGGUUUUAAUCAGUUUUGCAGGGAGAACGUGAGUUUUUUAAUGGAUUACUUGGUUUAAACAUGAAAAUUUAUCUGAAGAUUUACCAAAUGAAUUGUUCAUAUUCAUUUGGAAGAAUAAGCAGAAAAUGAAAAUGAAUUGAAAGUUUAUGAUGCAAAAAUGGCAGAUUUACUUUUAGAAAAGUUUCAUGUGGGAGAAACUAACUGCAAAUUCCCUAUGGAUGAACACGAUGACAUUUUUCCUCAAAUUAUUAUCAUCAAAAAAUAACAAACGGGAAGGCUUAUGUUGUAAAAACAAUGAAUGCUAUAAUUUUAAUAAAAUUAA
Molecule: long non-coding RNA, 934 nt
Organism: Prunus persica (peach)
Lineage: Eukaryota; Viridiplantae; Streptophyta; Magnoliopsida; Rosales; Rosaceae
Exons: 2
Source: RefSeq, a predicted model, not a curated record